Molecule: long non-coding RNA, 307 nt
Organism: Oncorhynchus tshawytscha (Chinook salmon)
Lineage: Eukaryota; Metazoa; Chordata; Actinopteri; Salmoniformes; Salmonidae
Source: Ensembl
CCUGGGGAUUCAGUUAGGUUUGUAUGCAGUCUGUUGAUAUACCAGGGACUGGGGAUGCAGUUAGGUUUGUAUGCAGUCUGAAGAUAUAUCAGGGCCUGGGGAUGCAGUUAGGUUUGUAUGCAGUCUGUUGAUAUACCAGGGCCAGGGAUGCAGUUAGGUUUGUAUGCAGUCUGUUGAUAUAUCAGGGCCUGGAGAUGCAGUUAGGUUUGUAUGCAGUCUGUUGAUAUAUCAGGGCCUGGAGAUGCAGUUAGGAUUGUUUUGCACUAUCAUCUCACUCAUUUCAAAUCAGCACCAAUCAAUCAAACAC